CCUACGGGAGGCAGCAGUGGGGAAUAUUGCACAAUGGGGGAAACCCUGAUGCAGCGACGCCGCGUGAGUGAAGAAGUAUUUCGGUAUGUAAAGCUCUAUCAGCAGGGAAGAAAUAAAGUCCUUCGGACUUUGGACGGUACCUGACUAAGAAGCCCCGGCUAACUACGUGCCAGCAGCCGCGGUAAUACGUAGGGGGCAAGCGUUAUCCGGAUUUACUGGGUGGAAAGGGAGGGGAGACGGCAGCGCAAGUCUGGAGGGAAAUCCCAUGGCGUAACCAUGGAACUGCAUUGGAAACUGUGCAGCUGGAGUGCAGGAGAGGUAAGCGGAAUUCCUAGUGUAGCGGUGAAAUGCGUAGAUAUUAGGAGGAACACCAGUGGCGAAGGCGGCUUACGGGACUGUAACUGACGUUGAGGCUCGAAGGCGUGGGGAGCAAACAGGAUUAGAUACCCGUGUAGUC
RNAcentral lists this ribosomal RNA (457 nucleotides) under uncultured bacterium. RNAcentral describes it as "partial 16S ribosomal RNA". It matches the Rfam family "Bacterial small subunit ribosomal RNA", at positions 338 to 795 of the family's 1533-position model. The record is from RNAcentral.